UGGGGAAUUUUGGACAAUGGGCGCAAGCCUGAUCCAGCCAUGCCGCGUGAGUGAAGAAGGCCUUCGGGUUGUAAAGCUCUUUCGGCCGGGAAGAAAUCGGUCUCUCGAAUACAGGGAUUGGAUGACGGUACCGGACUAAGAAGCACCGGCUAACUACGUGCCAGCAGCCGCGGUAAUACGUAGGGUGCGAGCGUUAAUCGGAAUUACUGGGCGUAAAGCGUGCGCAGGCGGUUUGCUAAGACAGGUGUGAAAUCCCCGGGCUUAACCUGGGAACUGCGCUUGUGACUGGCAGGCUAGAGUACGGUAGAGGGGGGUGGAAUUCCUGGUGUAGCAGUGAAAUGCGUAGAGAUCAGGAGGAACACCGAUGGCGAAGGCAGCCCCUGGGCCUGUACUGACGCUCAUGCACGAAAGCGUGGGGAGCGAAACAGGAUUAGAUACCCUGGUAGUCCACGCCCUAAACGAUGUCGACUAGUUGUUCGGUGCAGCAAUGCG
Molecule: ribosomal RNA, 492 nt
Filed under: uncultured Pseudomonadota bacterium
Lineage: Bacteria; Pseudomonadati; Pseudomonadota
Description: bacterial SSU rRNA
Rfam family: Bacterial small subunit ribosomal RNA
Source: RNAcentral